GGUUGCCCUAGCAACCAGGGAACGAGCUUCCUGUAGCCGAUGCGGAGAAAAACAGCCACAGAGGAGGGCAUUGCAGAUCAAAAUGUGUAGCUAGCAUGACAGCAAGCAAGCCUGGAGACUGACUACACCCUGCCAGCUGAGCGCCAAGAUGUCUGCACUGUGACUGCUCGCUGACUUACCACCUGACAUUGUUGAAGAGCAGCUUGGAGCAGAAACUGUCUGUGUCGCAGGAAGAAGACAGGAAACGUCCUAUAAAAACACACACAGCAAAACAGCACGAAUCCGGCUGCGAUCCUCUUGUCCAUCUGCUUCCACUUCGUCUUGAUAACCAUCCAGCAGGAAAGGUGUGAUGUAAAGUGCAGGCCUCCAUCUGGAGUCAACUUUUUGGGUUUGCUCAGUGACAAUAUCACCCUUACAAGACAAGGUCAAUAACAAUUACAACUGAAAUAAGAUUUUUAGUGAACAGCUGGGCCCUUUGUCUACACAGUGGCAGUAGAAUACAUUGGCUGCUGUUCAAAAUCUCUGAAAAAACACUAAUUUGAAUCCAAAUCUUAAUUUAGCUAAUGUAUACCUUACAGCUAACAGCAUAUAAUAGUAUAACUAAAUGUCCUCUUGAUAGUGGUACAGGGCCUACACCGUAAAUAUACAUCUCUACAUAUGGUGUAGAUAAUAAUGUGUAACAGGAACAUGAUUAGUAAAGCUUAACAAUGGAUUAAAUGAAUAGUCACAAUGUAAAAGCUGUUGCUUGUAGUGACAAGCCCAUAGACAAUAAUAAACUGAUUCUACCGUUCAGCAUUUUAGCUGAACGGUAGAAUCAGCACCACUCUCAUUAGUGUUGUUAUCAGAUGCAGCAGCAGCAGAAAAAACUCUGAUAAACCCACUGUACGUGACCUGUCCAACACCAAACAGCAGACAAAGUUAGGGACUAGCUGGUGAACAUAGUGCAGCAUUUAACAUCUUAAGAGACAUAUAUUUCACUCUGGAAUGAAGACCAAACCAGAGCUGAAAGGAGAAUGAAUAUUUGACUCAUUCAUCAGGUAGCCAGAAAACACCUCCAGAUGAUGAUAAUGUUGCUCUGUGUCUGCUGUAUGCAUAAAUACCCAGUGUUUGGCAUAUCAACUACAUAGUGGAGCUGUGUUUGUAUUGUGUUUUAGGGUUGUGUUCAGGUAUUUCCACUGCCCCCAAGUGGCAAAUAAAUUUAAUUACAGCAGCUUUAAGCUCAUACAGGAGUUUUUAAAAAAUGUUCCAAGUCUUUGUUCCAUAAUAAACUAUGUAUCAUCUACAUA
Long non-coding RNA from Lates calcarifer (barramundi perch), 1286 nucleotides. RefSeq lists it as uncharacterized. The transcript is spliced from 3 exons. NCBI's taxonomy places the organism in Eukaryota, Metazoa, Chordata, Actinopteri, Centropomidae. The record is from RefSeq and is a predicted model, not a curated record.